ACUCCUACGGGAGGCAGCAGUGGGGAAUCUUGGACAAUGGGGGAAACCCUGAUCCAGCCAUGCCGCGUGAGUGAUGAAGGCCCUAGGGUUGUAAAACUCUUUCGGCGGGGACGAUAAUGACGGUACCCGCAGAAGAAGCUCCGGCUAACUUCGUGCCAGCAGCCGCGGUAAUACGAAGGGGGCUAGCGUUGUUCGGAAUUACUGGGCGUAAAGCGCGCGCAGGCGGUCCUUCAAGUCAGAGGUGAAAGCCCAGGGCUCAACCCUGGAACUGCCUUUGAAACUGGAGGACUUGAGUACGGGAGAGGUGAGUGGAAUUCCGAGUGUAGAGGUGAAAUUCGUAGAUAUUCGGAAGAACACCAGUGGCGAAGGCGGCUCACUGGCCCGUUACUGACGCUCAGGCGCGACAGCGUGGGGAGCAAACUGGAUUAGAUACCCUGGUAGUCCACGCCGUAAACGAUGGAUGCUAGCCGUUGGUAAGCAUGCUUAUCAGUGGCGCAGCUAACGCAUUAAGCAUCCCGCCUGGGGAGUACGGCCGCAAGGUUGAAACUCAAGGGAAUUGACGGGGGCCCGCACAAGCGGUGGAGCAUGUGGUUUAAUUCGACGCAACGCGCAGAACCUUACCAGGCCUUGACAUCCCGUGCUAUCUCCAGAGAUGGAGGGUCCCCGCAAGGGGCGCGGAGACAGGUGCUGCAUGGCUGUCGUCAGCUCGUGUCGUGAGAUGUUGGGUUAAGUCCCGCAACGAGCGCAACCCUCGCCUUUAGUUGCCAUCAUUUAGUUGGGCACUCUAAAGGGACCGCCGGCGACAAGCCGGAGGAAGGUGGGGAUGACGUCAAGUCCUCACGGCCCUUACGGCCUGGGCUACACACGUGCUACAAUGGCGGUGACAGUGGGCAGCUACCACGCGAGUGGAUGCGAAUCCCAAAAAACCGUCCCAGUUCAGAUUGCACUCUGCAACUCGGGUGCAUGAAGUUGGAAUCGCUAGUAA
This 985-nucleotide ribosomal RNA is filed under the name uncultured bacterium. Its description in RNAcentral is "bacterial SSU rRNA". It matches the Rfam family "Bacterial small subunit ribosomal RNA", at positions 335 to 1341 of the family's 1533-position model. The record is from RNAcentral.